AGAGUUUGAUCAUGGCUCAGAACGAACGCUGGCGGCGUGGAUAAGACAUGCAAGUCGAGCGACGAUUACGAGGUAGCAAUAUUUCGUAGUUGGAGCGGCGCAAGGGUGCGUAACACGUGGGUAAUCUGCCAUGAAGUUUGGGAUAACUUGCUGAAAGGCGAGCUAAUACCGGAUGUGACAACUGGGAGGCAUCUUUUGGUUGUUAAAGUUGGGGACCGCAAGGCCUGACGCUUCAUGAUGAGCCCGCGGCCUAUCAGCUAGUUGGUGAGGUAACGGCUCACCAAGGCUAAGACGGGUAGCUGGUCUGAGAGGACGACCAGCCACACUGGAACUGAGACACGGUCCAGACACCUACGGGUGGCAGCAGUCGAGAAUUUUUCACAAUGGGCGCAAGCCUGAUGGAGCGACGCCGCGUGGGGGAUGAAUGGCUUCGGCCCGUAAACCCCUGUCAUUUGCGAUCAAACCUCGGUAUUUAAAAGAUGCCGAGCUGAUAGUAGCGAAAGAGGAAGGGACGGCUAACUCUGUGCCAGCAGCCGCGGUAAUACAGAGGUCCCGAGCGUUGUUCGGAUUCACUGGGCGUAAAGGGUGCGUAGGUGGUGGGAUAAGUCGGAUGUGAAAUCUCGGAGCUUAACUCCGAAACUGCAUUGGAAACUGUCCUGCUAGAGGGUUGGAGGGGGGACUGGAAUACUUGGUGUAGCAGUGAAAUGCGUAGAUAUCAAGUGGAACACCGGUGGCGAAGGCGAGUCCCUGGACAACACCUGACACUGAGGCACGAAAGCUAGGGGAGCAAACAGGAUUAGAUACCCUAGUAGUCC
This 815-nucleotide ribosomal RNA is filed under the name uncultured bacterium. Its description in RNAcentral is "bacterial SSU rRNA". It matches the Rfam family "Bacterial small subunit ribosomal RNA", at positions 8 to 796 of the family's 1533-position model. The record is from RNAcentral.